This 492-nucleotide ribosomal RNA is filed under the name uncultured bacterium. Its description in RNAcentral is "partial 16S ribosomal RNA". It matches the Rfam family "Bacterial small subunit ribosomal RNA", at positions 30 to 507 of the family's 1533-position model. The record is from RNAcentral.
AUUGAACGCUGGCGGCAUGCUUUACACAUGCAAGUCGAACGGUAACAGGCCUUCGGGUGCUGACGAGUGGCGAACGGGUGAGUAAUGCAUCGGAACGUACCCAGAGGUGGGGGAUAACGCAGCGAAAGCUGUGCUAAUACCGCAUGUGAUCUGAGGAUGAAAGCGGGGGACCGAGCAGCAAUGUUUGGCCUCGCGCCUUUGGAGCGGCCGAUGUCGGAUUAGCUAGUUGGUGGGGUAAUGGCCUACCAAGGCGACGAUCCGUAGCUGGUCUGAGAGGACGAACAGCCACACUGGGACUGAGACACGGCCCAGACUCCUACGGGAGGCAGCAGUGGGGAAUUUUGGACAAUGGGCGCAAGCCUGAUCCAGCAAUGCCGCGUGCGGGAAGAAGGCCUUCGGGUUGUAAACCGCUUUUGGCAGGAACGAAACGGUGUCCGCUAAUACCGGGCGCUAAUGACGGUACCUGCAGAAUAAGCACCGGCUAACUACGUG